Long non-coding RNA from Zingiber officinale, 534 nucleotides. RefSeq lists it as uncharacterized. The transcript is spliced from 2 exons. The record is from RefSeq and is a predicted model, not a curated record. Lineage: Eukaryota; Viridiplantae; Streptophyta; Magnoliopsida; Zingiberales; Zingiberaceae.
AAACAACUUCUCCGAACCCUAGCAGCCCUUUCUCUUCGGUUGUAAGUCCAAGAACCCAAAAGCCGAAUCUAGGGCUCGUCUCCAGCGGCCGGCGAGGACUUUUUCCGACGAGAUCUCCACACCUUCGUGAUCCCCUCGUCGAGAAGAACAAGUAGAUACCAAGAGAUCGUUGAGGAAACAACUUCUCCGAACCCUAGCAGCCCUUUCUCUUCGGUUGUAAGUCCAAGAACCCAAAGUAAGUGCUUCUCACCUGCGGUAGGAGUAGCUUUCGGGGUUUUGUUGCAUUUUUGUUGUUGUGUAAUGAACAAGAGCAGCCCUUCAUCCUAGCAUAUUGUCUAGAUUUCAACCUUUGCUCUAGAAAUUCGGUUUGAGCUUUGGUUCAAGCCCUUUUGUUGUUUUUUUUAAGAGCACGGACAGAAUUUUUGAUGGUUUUCCUUGAUUGUUACAGCAUGCUUAUUUAGAUGUAUUUACCUUACAUUUCAAGCAUGUCUAAGUAGUUAUGUUUCCUUCAAGUCACGGCAUGAUUAAAGGAUU